AGCAUCUCUCAAGACUCCAACUCUAGCAUAUCUAGUGUAGCAGUUCCUCAUGUCACGUUUGCCAGGAGGUCCGACGCUCAGCAUCCUCCGGUCCAGAGGACUGACCCACCUCCUUCCUCAUCGUUACCAGGGCGAAGUAGUCUUCGAAGUAAACCGGUGCAAGAAACUGCCAUGUGGUGAAAACCAGAUCCAGAUUGAUUUUAUACUACGCAUUUUGUAAUACAUCAAGUAAAAUUCGGUUCAGGAAAGAAAUGCGGUUGCAGUUUUCGGGUCGUUGACAUACUCGUAUCAUUUUAGAACCAGGCGAAACUGAUUGUGAUUUCAUUUUACCUUUGUAAAUUAUGAUGUAAAAUGCGACUGAGGUAUUCAGGCUCAUGUUAGUUGGCAGAAACCAAUUUCAGGUAAAGCUAUUGAAUCAUGACUGAUCUGAAGCUAAAAUGAAAGGAACACAGAGAGGAGCUGUAGGAAAAUUGGAGAGACAUUAUAAAAAAUCUUCCUCACGCGCUUAAGUCUUGCUUAAGAGUUUGUAUCUUCCCUAUUACUCGUAAUAUUUUGAUUAAAAAAACAUCCAAACUCCUAUAACUCCGUUGAAUGCCACAUCUUGAUCCCAGAAUACCCCAGUGGAGCCCAAAAUCAAAUUUUUUUGUAAUAUUUUAUGUUAUUCCAUGAUGGAAUUGUUUUUGCGUUAAUCAAUGUAUUUAUGUGAUUGACUGAAACUUACUGAUUGACUAAUGUAUAGUUGUAUAAUACAUCAGUUUAAAUGUGUACAGUAGUACAUCACAACGCUUUUAACGAGAGAAGAACAUUUCUAUAUAAAUAAUUACAAAAUUUUACGUCGCGAGGUGCUCAUCCUGUAAAAAGAUUUAUACUUUGAGCGCUCCAUAAGAUUAACUUCUGUUCUCCUGUUCAUCGCUAAGGAUACAUUUUUUUUGCAGCUACUUUUUCUCCACUGCUAAGAAUCUCAGUGCACGUUUAAUGCCUAAAACCACACAAGAAAAUGUUGUAAGAAAAUCAAUUUCAAGGCACUUUUUGGUGUAUUUACUCUUAUCUUUUUACUCUAAUUCUCGCGAUUAAAAUUUAGUUUAUACAGACACAAAAUGGAAGGCCCUUUUUCGCAUGUGAAAUGUUCUUCUGAGCCUGAAUUGUAGGAUUAAGUAUUUUUCCUUGUACAGUAUAUUUUUUUAUAAUAACGAGAAUUGUCUUUGUAAACAAAAGUCAGUGCCCUAGGUCUAUGCAUUUUCUAUUUUACUUUAUUAUUUUUCUUGGUGUAAUAUUUUCGUACAUACGUGAGUGAAACACCUUUAUUUAUUAAUUUAUUUAAUUGAUUAAUUAAUUAGGAAGAAAAAGUAAUCUGUGAUUUAUUACGGUACGCGGCCAUUUUACGUAGUGAUAAAGUUACCUCCAUUC
RNAcentral lists this long non-coding RNA (1407 nucleotides) under Bemisia tabaci. Its description in RNAcentral is "lncRNA ENSSSA1UGG012745". Lineage: Eukaryota; Metazoa; Arthropoda; Insecta; Hemiptera; Aleyrodidae. The record is from RNAcentral.